GUGCUGAGGUGGUAUUCCCAUGUCCUCAUCAGGAAACAUAAGUGGUUGUGCAUGACUUUGUCCAGACGAAGGUACGCCAAAACACAUCGUCGGGGUAGCGCCAUCCUGUUUGCACACAGUAUCUUGGGUCAGUUCCAUGCAGCAGUUUCUAGGAUUUUUGUGUAUGGGAAUACAUGUGAUCUUGCUCCCUGGUACUAUAUUACUUCAACCUCCUAUUUAAACCGGUGUUGAUUGUCAUGAUGGAUAUUGACACUUGUUAUUGCUGCAUCAUGUAUAUUAUUUGGGACAUACCCAUAUAAUAUUUAAAAACAUUUUUUAUGUAUGAUUUUGCAGUAUUACUCUCAUAUUAUUCCUGUGUGCUGCCAGGAUGGUGUUUUCUUCUGCCACAUUUCCUUUUAAUGUGACAUUCGUUUUAUAUAAUUUGUGAUUUAAUAAAAUACUUUUUUAAUAAAAUAUUUUUUACGCAUACUUUUUGAGCUCCAUUAUUUGUUUAAGUCUUUUUCUCUGCCUGGGAGCUUGUACCAGGAUAUUUUGUAGCUGGCCCCCUUAUUUAGCCACAAUACUUAUUGGUAUACUACGGGGGAAGUUUUGGCAUGUGGGCCGCUCUUGGUCUUCUUCUGCAUUUAUAUAUUAUAGUAUUGUUUUUAAAUAAUAAAAUGCAAUUAAAAAAUAUUGAAACCUCG
Long non-coding RNA from Bufo bufo (common toad), 683 nucleotides. RefSeq lists it as uncharacterized. NCBI's taxonomy places the organism in Eukaryota, Metazoa, Chordata, Amphibia, Anura, Bufonidae. The record is from RefSeq and is a predicted model, not a curated record. The transcript is spliced from 3 exons.